AUGCUCCGUGCAAAAGAGGGAGCCCGGCAGCACCGGUAUCUGGGAGGGGAUCUGCAGCCCACCUUCCUGCAGCAGAGGCCAGGAAGAGGCGCUGGAGGGAGUGGAGACAUUGCAGGUAGCGCUGAGAGCUGGCCGCAGCCCCGUCUUCCCUUUGAAACAAAUUUGUCUUUGCGUCCUUCCCGGGGAAACACCUGGCUCCGGCCUGGCUCAUUGUCCUCGGCUGGCCCCGCAAUGCGCCGAGCGGCUGGGGACCCUCACGAAGCUACAGACCCCUCCAAGAGACCUCCGUCUUCCCACGAGGCACCCAAACCCUCCGGAGAUUGCCGAAGGAAGGAAGCAGGGCUGGCGGGGCUUGCUACCACCGUGCUGCUUGCCAGGGGCCAGUUAAACCUUUUGGCAGGAUUCUUGGCCCUUCCCGAGGGGACAGCAACGGCGCUAGGACGAAUCCCCGGUGUGCACGGGGCUGAUACGGCCCUCGCCAACAGACGGCGGUGCGGUGGGCAGCUGGAGCGAGAGCAGUUGUUGACCCAGAGCCACCAGUGCCGUGGGGUCAGCGCGGCAGCGUGCCCGCUAUCUGGGCGGCUGCAAGGCGGCACGCCACUGCUCGCCGCGGCCCCGAUAGCAGCUCUGCCCCCAGAGCGAGCCCGGCUGCGCUUAUCUGCUGCUCGGGGCCGUGGUCCGACAGAGCCAGGCACCCGCAGGGGGGCUGCGGGGCUGGGGGCCCCCCGACAAGUGCGCAAACAAGCUCAGGAUGUGAGCACAAUAGCCGAGGACGGGGCUUUGAAAAGCAGGGGGACGCAGCGCGGCCGUCCCGGGGCACAUCAAAGGCCCCGUCUCGCGCUCGCGGCUCCCCAGCAGCCCCCGUGUUUGAUCGCCGCGGGCCUGGCCCCGGCUGGCCAGGGGGCUGGAGCGGUGGGAAGCGGAAAGGGAAAAGGCAGCAGUGGGGAGAGGGCAGGCACGGGGCCGGGAUACAGCCCCCAGGCUCCACAUCACGGGUUUCUCAUGAGCUCCCUCGGUCCCUCUUUGUUCUGGCCCUGGCUGAUUGUAUCUCGAGCGCAGCACACUGCCCCUCUCUUCCCCACUUCCCCACAUCUCCGGGCAGGCGUCUGGGUCCUUUUCCGAAGUUCCUUGUGCGCCAUUUCACUUGUCCUCAACCUGCAAUUGCCACAGCUGGGAGCUUUGUAUUUCUUUUAUUCCCUUGCGGAUUCGGUGGGCUGA
This 1218-nucleotide long non-coding RNA is filed under the name Anser brachyrhynchus (Pink-footed goose). RNAcentral describes it as "lncRNA (ENSABRG00000008229.1)". Lineage: Eukaryota; Metazoa; Chordata; Aves; Anseriformes; Anatidae. The record is from RNAcentral.